AACAUAUGAUGAAUGAAUACACAAUUGGUCCGUGUUUCUGACUUCAUUGAUGUCUGUGCAUUGCUGAUGUU
Small nucleolar RNA from Uloborus diversus, 71 nucleotides. RefSeq annotates it as small nucleolar RNA SNORD18. The transcript has a single exon. Lineage: Eukaryota; Metazoa; Arthropoda; Arachnida; Araneae; Uloboridae. The record is from RefSeq and is a predicted model, not a curated record.